This is a small nuclear RNA of Cornus florida, 198 nucleotides long. RefSeq annotates it as U2 spliceosomal RNA. Lineage: Eukaryota; Viridiplantae; Streptophyta; Magnoliopsida; Cornales; Cornaceae. The record is from RefSeq and is a predicted model, not a curated record. The transcript has a single exon.
AUACCUUUCUCGGCCUUUUGGCUAAGAUCAAGUGUAGUAUCUGUUCUUAUCAGUUUAAUAUCUGAUACGUGGGCCAUUGGCCCACACAGUAUUAAAUUAAUUUUUUUUAGGGGGGAGAGGCCGCUACAGUAGCUUGCUGCUGGGCCUCUCGUGGGUCGCCUUGGUGUUGCACUAUAGCCUAGUCCUGGUCCACCCCAC